This 443-nucleotide ribosomal RNA is filed under the name Sisyphus seminulum. Its description in RNAcentral is "partial 16S ribosomal RNA". Lineage: Eukaryota; Metazoa; Arthropoda; Insecta; Coleoptera; Scarabaeidae. The record is from RNAcentral.
CAUGUCUUUUUGAUUAUAAUUUAAAGUCUGACCUGCCCACUGAGAAAUUAAAUGGCCGCAAUAUUUUGAUUGUGCAAAGGUAGCAUAAUAAUUAGUUUUUUAAUUGAGAACUGGUAUGAAUGGUUGAACGAGAAAAAGACUGUCUCAUUUUAAUUUAAUUAGAAUUUUAUCUUUAAGUUAAAAAGCUUAAAUAUAUUUAAAAGACGAGAAGACCCUAUAGAGUUUAAUAAAAUUAAAAUUUUUAAUAAUUAAAGAAUUUUAUCUAUUAUUUAUUUAAAUUUUAUUUGAUUGGGGUGAUUAAAAAAUUUAAAUAACUUUUUUUAAAAAUUUAACAUUAAUUUAUGAUUGUUUGAUCCAUAUUUUAUGAUUAAAAGAUUAAAUUACCUUAGGGAUAACAGCGUAAUUUUUUUUAAGAGUUCUUAUCGAAAAAAAAGAUUGCGACC